UAACGCGUAUGCAACUUACCUAUCAGAGGGGGAUAGCCCGGCGAAAGUCGGAUUAAUACCCCAUAAAACAGGGGUCCCGCAUGGGAAUAUUUGUUAAAGAUUCAUCGCUGAUAGAUAGGCAUGCGUUCCAUUAGGCAGUUGGCGGGGUAACGGCCCACCAAACCGACGAUGGAUAGGGGUUCUGAGAGGAAGGUCCCCCACAUUGGUACUGAGACACGGACCAAACUCCUACGGGAGGCAGCAGUGAGGAAUAUUGGUCAAUGGCCGAGAGGCUGAACUAGCCAAGUCGCGUGAAGGAAGAAGGAUCUAUGGUUUGUAAACUUCUUUUAUAGGGGAAUAAAGUGGAGGACGUGUCCUUUUUUGUAUGUACCCUAUGAAUAAGCAUCGGCUAACUCCGUGCCAGCAGCCGCGGUAAUACGGAGGAUGCGAGCGUUAUCCGGAUUUAUUGGGUUUAAAGGGAGCGCAGACGGGUCGUUAAGUCAGCUGUGAAAGUUUGGGGCUCAACCUUAAAAUUGCAGUUGAUACUGGCGUCCUUGAGUGCGGUUGAGGUGUGCGGAAUUCGUGGUGUAGCGGUGAAAUGCUUAGAUAUCACGAAGAACUCCGAUUGCGAAGGCAGCACACUAA
Molecule: ribosomal RNA, 624 nt
Filed under: uncultured bacterium
Lineage: Bacteria
Description: bacterial SSU rRNA
Rfam family: Bacterial small subunit ribosomal RNA
Source: RNAcentral